Molecule: ribosomal RNA, 460 nt
Filed under: uncultured bacterium
Lineage: Bacteria
Description: partial 16S ribosomal RNA
Rfam family: Bacterial small subunit ribosomal RNA
Source: RNAcentral
CCUACGGGAGGCAGCAGUGAGGAAUAUUGGUCAAUGGACGAGAGUCUGAACCAGCCAAGUAGCGUGAAGGAUGACUGCCCUAUGGGUUGUAAACUUCUUUUAUAGAGGAAUAAAACGAGGCACGUGUGCCUUUUUGCAUGUACUUUAUGAAUAAGGAUCGGCUAACUCCGUGCCAGCAGCCGCGGUAAUACGGAGGAUCCGAGCGUUAUCCGGAUUUGUUGGGUUUAAAGGGAGCGUAGAUGGGUUGGUAAGUCAGUUGUGAAAGUUUGCGGCUCAACCGUAAAAUUGCAAUUGAUACUGGCAGUCUUGAGUACAGUUGAGGUAGGCGGAAUUCGUGGUGUAGCGGUGAAAUGCUUAGAUAUCACGAAGAACCCCGAUUGCGAAGGCAGCUUACUAAACUGUGACUGACAUUGAUGCUCGAAAGUGUGGGUAUCAAACAGGAUUAGAUACCCCUGUAGUC